This is a long non-coding RNA of Taeniopygia guttata (zebra finch), 5073 nucleotides long. The record is from Ensembl. NCBI's taxonomy places the organism in Eukaryota, Metazoa, Chordata, Aves, Passeriformes, Estrildidae.
CAAACAAACAAAAACAGUCGAAUGCCAGAGACUUUCACGGUUUAUCACAGCUUUUUCUUGAAUCCUAUUUCUUAAAUUGCCAGCGCGGUGUAGCCCCGUUUCGGACACUCUCUGCAGCCGGUCACAGCCCCAAAGAGAAGCGGUGGCGCCCGCCAUGUAGAAGGAGAGAUCCGCCGUCCGUGCCAGCUUUCCCGGCUUGUUUGUUUGUCUUACAACGUUACUUUUCCCCGCUGACAUCACCUGGCGGGGGGAGCACCGAGCCCACUGAAUGCUGCCCGUGGGAGUGCGGGAGCAGAGGGGGCGCAGCAGGGAGCGGGGGUCGCCAGGGCUCUCCCGACCGGCAGCCGCGGCCCCGCGGCGUGCCAAGGGUUAACUGUGCCCGCUGCGGGGCUCUGUGCGGCCAGGGAUGGAACUUCCCCCAGAUGCCUUCAAGAGGAGAGCGAGUCCCGCAGCGCCGGUUCCAGCGGGCCGGGCCGGGCCGGAGCGGGCCGGGGGCGGCCGCCACUCCCCCGCAAGGAGCUCAUUUCCAUGUCUGCGCUCCCGCAACUGUGAGAAAAUCCGCCCGGACCAUCCCGCGUGCCGAUGCUGCCUGGGCUGCCCCGGUCGCCUUGGUGACAGAGCCUGGGGGGAACCACAUCAAUAAAAUAAAGCGAAACUUUUCCCGGAGCCGGCGCAUGGCGGGGAGAGGGGGAUAACCCCACGUCCACGCGUGUCGUUCCUGGGGCCGGACCGCCUGAACACCCGCCUGGAGCCGUGCGCGGGGUGGGGGCAGGGAGGGGCUGGUGCAAAAGUGCCCAGGGACAGUCCGGGAGGGGGAAGGGAGCGCUGAACAGCCCCACACUUAUCAAUAACAAGAUGUAUAAAUAUCAAAGUGAAGAAGCCCGAGUAAGUCUUUCUAGAAGCGCGGAGGAAGCUUAAGCAGCUUUCUUUAAUGGUGAUUUGUAGCUCUGUAAGGGGCACGGAUAGCAAAUACCCUGCAGGUGCAUGUUGUAACACUGCCAUCCGGACUUUAAUGUAGAUUACUCUCCAACUCGUUUGAUCGGUCCUUUGAAACCCUUUACAAUUGCCUGUGACGAACCGCCAGUCUCAGGUUUUUUUUCUUUGAAUAAUGCCUUAAGGGUAAGUCCUCGGGGCUUUCAAAGAUCUCCAGCACAUUAAAAAAAAAAAAAAAAAAAAAAAAAAAAAAAAAAAAAAAAGGAAACACGUUAGGUUUUUACUUUAGAGCGUGGGUCCAUGUCUCUCAACUUGGGGCUGUUAGCAGGCAUCUUUUAAAUCAUUAUUCAUCUAAUAACCAUCAACUUUGUAAGGGAGAUACGAGCAUCUUCUAAAGACCUCCAAACAUUUCUGUGGCAUUUGGGAACACACUGGUUAAAAUUUAGGAGGCACACAGCCCAUCCCUCCUGCUGAAGCCCUGGAGCUGGUGGGUCUCCGGUGUUUAUGGACUCUCAGCUGGAUAAAUCUGUGCUGAAGGCCUUUUCUCUGGACAUCGAGAACCUCCCGGAGUGGGUUUGGAGAGUAAACCCGAAAGGUGAUGCAGGAGAGAAUCCCAGCCGGGGGGCCUCCCUAAUCUCCCCUACGGACAUCCCGCAUCCCGGCCCUGCUCUGGGACCCUCGCCCCUGCUGUGUUGGUGCUUUCCAGCAAAGAGUGAGCAGUUUUUGAGGGGGUUAAAGAAAAAAAAAAAAAAAAAAAGACUCGAAGACAAAAUAAAUCCCUCAGAUGUUUCCACUCUCACAGCAAAUAACGUUUAACCUUUAAUAUUUAUUCGUUGCUAUUAAUUCAAAAAAAUAAUUACUGAACUUUUGGCCCUUCAACUUCCACAAGCGGCGCUUUGUUUCCCUAAAAUAAACUUGGGAGAAGCGAUCCCUCCGUAUCAAACUAGGGGUUUGAAUUAAAGGCCCAUUUGGGACACUUGAGACUACAAAGGGUUACACAUAAAUAAAUGCCACAUUUGCCUAUUGCAAAAGUUUUCCCUGUCCUUUCUCAGUCACAACAGGGGAGGAAAAAGCCGUCGUUUAUUAUCUAGUGCUGGGCAGGAGCAGCCCCUCUAGAAUGUGCUCUUAGAUUUGGCCGGCAGAAGAGGGACUCUUCCCCCCCCCCCACCUCCCCAACAGCAGCUCCUUUUGUUCUCCAGAUCUCUUUCCCAAUUUCAAGCUUCACUUGCAGAUCCUAAGUUUGUUUGUUAAUGACGCUAUUACCAUCUGGCUCGUCCUACUUUCCAAAAGAUAUAAAUCUCCCCAGUUUCAUUGCCUACAUUAUCAUCUAAGUGCCACCAUAGCUGGAAGAAAAAUAUGCUUUCAAGGUUGCGAAUUCUCUUGCACGGAGCGAGUUCCCCGGGCGCGGGGCUGCCGCCCGCCCCGCCGGGCUGCGCCCGCUCGGGAGGGAUGCGGCCAAAUGGAUUUCACCUUGCAGCGAUGCUGGGAGAGGGAGAGACCGCAGCAUUUCAGUUUUCCACCAGAAACUUAAGUGAAUCUUGCCCCCAUCCCCCGCCCCCCAUCCCUCUCGGCCCCUUUUGUGGCUGUUUAAUGCAUCUGGCUACUUUGAACCGUUAUCUUCCGCGGGGAGAGGGACGCGCGCCCGCCCGGCGGGGCGAGGGCAGGAUGGGUCCUGCUCCUGUUUGCCCUCACCCAGCGUGAACCCCCGUCUCUCCGACAGAACUACAUAUUCCAUACGUGUGAAUAAACCUUUCCCACAGGAGUUGUACAGUAAAGGAAAGAAAACUUUGGGCUCCUCUUAGUGCAAAGCGGCUGCAGAUUUGUGUGCGUUUAAGCAUAAAGGGACGGGGGGAGGGCGAGAAGGGGUGGGGGAGGGAGUUGGGUCGGUUUGUGUAUGGGCUCCACAAUGACUCUAUUUAUUCGCUGCAACCAGCCUGGGCAGAUUGAAUAGGCGAGAGAGAGACACUCAGCCUUCCCAACGCGUGGGCUUUGUGGGAUCCAGUCCCCACUAGCAGAUUUCGACUGCUAAUUUCCCAUUCUCAGGGGUCUCCUGCGAGGAGACACGGCCGUGCCCAUCAACUGCGGUUCCCCCAAACACUGUCCGUGUUUCUAGUCCUUAACCUCUCCGCGUGCAAGUUUAGCAUCAGGAGAAGUUUUAUCAUUUAGUGUUUCUUUGCUGGAUCUCCGGCAAUGUUUCUGUGGAUUAAAAAAAAAAAAAAAAAAAAAAAAAAAAAAGCCAAAUAUUUUAUUUGACGAUAUGUGUAUACACACACACACACACACCACGCACACAAUUGUCAAGUGAGGGAAAAGAUACUCCUUUAAUAUUGGAAAGAAACCCAGGGAUUUUUUUUCCCCCGAGUGGUCUGAUUGUUAUAAAUAAUUACGGAUGAAAAGAAAACUCACUUAUUAUGCACUUCUAAUACUGUGACUGCACAAGAGAGAAAGGGGGCCAAACCAGUGAUUAAUUAAUAUCGUACUGGCGUAGCUAUUUUCUCGCGAAAGGCCUUUCCCCCCUCGCUGCUACUGAGUUAUCAUUCCAGCUCGAGUCAUGUGUAGCUAGGAAGGGAUCUUGUUUAUAAAUUUAUAUGACGACCUUUUCUUUGUGUGUGCUCUAAAGUUGAUAUGGACAAAUUGCAGAGGUAUACAAUUUAAGUAGAUGCACUUUUAAUCACCGAUCAUUAAAAUGGUUAUGUUAAAUAUACUCAAUUACAUGCAUGACUUCACCCUAACAGUACUUUCUAUUCUCCCAGCUGCUCACGUAUUCCUUAACUAUAGCCAGCAGAAGAAACUCGAUUAUGCUGAAUCCAUACAUUUCUAUGGAUUUCAUCAGCCUAAUUAAUGCUUCAGUGUGGUCCAUGUGUCUGAAUGGUCCCUUUGCUAUUACUUGGGUAAGGAGGCAGUGCUGGAAUGCAGAGGGUCUUUCUUUCAAAGAUACCCAUGGGGGUCACUCUAGGACUCUAAUGGCAAAGGUAGCAAGUGUUAAAUAGCAGAAACAUGCAGAGAAAGGGAAGGCAGGGAUGUAAAAGGGACAUUGAUACUGUAGGUAUGCCCAACAGGUCAGUGAUGAUAAUUAAAACGCUUGAAGAAGAAAAGGUAAAUGGAAAGCUUCCACAAUUCGCAGCAUGCCUGGUUAAAAGCAAACGAACCAGCGCAAAGAAACGCGCCUGACGAGGGAAAAAAAAAAAAAAAAAAAAAAAAAGUUGACAGCAGAUUUUUAGACUAAAUAACUACUAGGGCAGCCUCUUCUGUGAGCAGUGCGUUUGAAUGCCCCGUCCCUUCUCUAAUUUUCUCGUUGUGGAAAUGCGACGUGUCAGGGAGAGGAUGCCCGGCCGGGCAGAGCGGCGCUCCCACGCUGCCGGUCCUGGCACCAGCGGGGCUUCCUGCAGUCCCCUGUCACUGCAGAUGCACGGGCCGCUGGGGGAAGGAAGGAGCUCUCCCCCUCCUCUCCAAGCUUUCUUUCGAAACCAAGAAGCGAUUAAAAUGAAGGGGAUGUUGCAGCCUUAGGAGAAACAGCCAAUGGCGGCUUUUAUAGCACAUCUUCCCAUCUUAGCAUUUAGCGGGAUAUAAAAGGCACGCGUCCUGCUAUUCCAGCAACAUUUUAAUCGACGAGAAACGCAUCGAGAUUUUUUUUUUUUUUUUUUUUUUUUUCCUCCCACCUGUUGUAGUAGAAGACCAUCUGAUCACACAUUUCUCUGGCUGCUGGGAGACGUGAGAGAAAAUCAGAAUUCUUUCUUGUCACCCACUGCUCUGCCAAAAAGGUGGUGUUGGAGACCGCAGCUCUUCCCUGUUUCUCCACCAAACAAUCGACAGCUCAAUUGUCCUAACUUCGAGUCGGUGCUUCUCUUCAUCCUUCAUCCUUCAAGUGGAGAGAGAAAGCAGGGAAGAUUUCAGAUCUAUAACCAAAUUAUAACCUAGGAACUUUAUGCUUGUCAUGCUAAUUUAAUGACUUUUAUAGUAAGUGUAGACUUUCUGUCUUUUGAAAUUAGCUCUUCAAAACGCUUUGUGUAAUGACAGGCACUAGACAUAAGAGACAAAUGCACAAGCAAUAGUGGGAUAAUAAUCUGGCAAACACUGCACCAUUUAAUAUUAAAAUGGAGAACAAAGUGCGUUAAAUUUCAGCGUAGAGGUGCAUCAUUG